ACGAGGUGAUGACCUAUGAAUUGACAGCCAGUAACUGGAGCCUCUGCCUGUCAGUUCUGUAGGCCACUGCUGCGU
Tetraodon nigroviridis (spotted green pufferfish) is the source of this 75-nucleotide non-coding RNA. The record is from Rfam. Lineage: Eukaryota; Metazoa; Chordata; Actinopteri; Tetraodontiformes; Tetraodontidae.